GAUGAACGCUGGCGGCGUGCUUAACACAUGCAAGUCGAACGGGAUCCAUCAGGCUUUGCUUGGUGGUGGGAGUGGCGAACGGGUGAGUAAUGCGUGACCGACCUGCCCCAUACACCGGAAUAGCUCCUGGAAACGGGUGGUAAUGCCGGAUGCUCCGACUCCUCGCAUGGGUGUCGGGAAAGAUUUCAUCGGUAUGGGAUGGGGUCGCGGCCUAUCAGGUAGUCGGCGGGGUAACGGCCCACCGAGCCUACGACGGGUAGCCGGCCUGAGAGGGCGACCGGCCACAUUGGGACUGAGAUACGGCCCAGACUCCUACGGGGGACAGCAGUGGGGAAUAUUGCACAAUGGGCGCAAGCCUGAUGCAGCGACGCCGCGUGCGGGAUGACGGCCUUCGGGUUGUAAACCGCUUUUGAUCGGGAGCAAGCCUUCGGGUGAGUGUACCUUUCGAAUAAGCACCGGCUAACUACGUGCCAGCAGCCGCCGUAA
RNAcentral lists this ribosomal RNA (486 nucleotides) under uncultured bacterium. RNAcentral describes it as "partial 16S ribosomal RNA". It matches the Rfam family "Bacterial small subunit ribosomal RNA", at positions 28 to 523 of the family's 1533-position model. The record is from RNAcentral.